CCUACAGUGUUGUCUAGAGACUCAGUUUUGCUGAUGCAAUUAGAGCAGCGAUAGAAAAUAAUUUUUAAAGAUUAAAAUCACAACGUGGCUUAAUGAAGAGUAUGGAGCAGUUUCUUAUCAUUGUGCUUGUGGCAGGGGGAAUUCAUGCUCACGUUUCAGUUGAUGAGACUACAUGUGACCUCAGGACGAACACAUGCCCAUGCUCUCCUCUUCUUAAAGGAACUGUGUAUAUCCAAGUGAUGACUGAUGCUAGUGGCCGUGAAAUGAAGUGUUUGAAGGUGCUUCCCAUGGUGAACAUAACUGUGUUCAAUAUAAAGAAAGAAAAAAUAACAACAGACAAGGAAUUGAACAACAGACUACAGUUUAUAAUCAAGAACGGGACACUCAAGAUCACAAACCUGAGGAGGAAUGAUUCAGGUCAAUACAGCAUUGAGGUCUUUAAUUCAAAUGGAGUCCAAGAGAAAAACAUUCAUUUCACGCUGGAUGUUAAAGCUCUCGUUCCAAUUGAUGAGACUACAUGUGACCUCAGGACGAACACAUGCCCAUGCUCUCC
Astatotilapia calliptera (eastern happy) is the source of this 553-nucleotide long non-coding RNA. The record is from Ensembl. NCBI's taxonomy places the organism in Eukaryota, Metazoa, Chordata, Actinopteri, Cichliformes, Cichlidae.